Long non-coding RNA from Sardina pilchardus (European sardine), 244 nucleotides. RefSeq lists it as uncharacterized. The record is from RefSeq and is a predicted model, not a curated record. NCBI's taxonomy places the organism in Eukaryota, Metazoa, Chordata, Actinopteri, Clupeiformes, Clupeidae. The transcript is spliced from 3 exons.
CUGGGAUGAAGCAAGCAGGAGCUGAUCGAGCCUAUCUGGUUUGGGAGGUAACUGCUCAUCUCAGGAUGCAAGACAUUGAGCUUGAGGUGAAGAGAGAGCUGCUAGCCAGACAUUUGUCUGGUGUCACUCAUGAGGCCGGUGAGCUGAAGGACCUUGGACAGCGUAUCUCCUCAGCUCUGUCUGAUCCCAAGUCAUCUGUCGGCGCAGUUGAGGACAUUCAGAAAAGCCCAGAUGACUUCAAAAU